RNAcentral lists this ribosomal RNA (560 nucleotides) under uncultured bacterium. RNAcentral describes it as "bacterial SSU rRNA". It matches the Rfam family "Bacterial small subunit ribosomal RNA", at positions 338 to 916 of the family's 1533-position model. The record is from RNAcentral.
CCUACGGGAGGCAGCAGUGAGGAAUUUUCCGCAAUGGGCGAAAGCCUGACGGAGCAAUACCGCGUGAGGGAUGAAGGAUUUUGGUCUGUAAACCUCUUUUCUCAAGAAAGAAGUUCUGACGGUACUUGAGGAAUAAGCAUCGGCUAACUCCGUGCCAGCAGCCGCGGUAAUACGGGGGAUGCAAGCGUUAUCCGGAAUGAUUGGGCGUAAAGCGCCUGUAGGUUGUUUAUUAAGUCCGUUGUUAAAGCCUAGGGCUCAACCCUAGAAAAGCAAUGGAAACUAGUAGACUAGAGUAUGGCAGGGGGUAGAGGGAAUUUCUAGUGUAGCGGUGAAAUGCGUAGAUAUUAGAAAGAACACCGGUGGCGAAAGCGCUCUACUGGACCAUUACUGACACUCAGAGGCGAAAGCUAGGGUAGCAAAAGGGAUUAGAUACCCCUGUAGUCCUAGCCGUAAACGAUGGAUACUAGAUGUUGUGCAUUAUGUACAGUAUCGUAGCUAACGCGUUAAGUAUCCCGCCUGGGGAGUACGCUCGCAAGGGUGAAACUUAAAGGAAUUGACGG